GUCGUGAACGCCUUUCUUGUCGUUGAUUGGUGCGCUGAGUGCAUGCCUCCGCCUAUAAUUUGUUUUUGUAGAACACUAUUUGACUGUGGUAGCUGUCAAUCAAUUGUUAACUCAAGCCGCUGUUCAAAGGACUGAAAUCGAUUGAAGAGUCAGAGCGCAGGAAGGUCUCAUUGUACGGCAGCGAGGAUGAUUAGAGAGAAUGUAAAUUUAUCCUUCAGGUGUAUAGUUGAAGAAUAGUAGACUGUUACAGUGAUGGAUGUGAGAGAUGCUGCAGGAAGGUGGGAUGCUCUGGGCAGUCGAGACUUGAGCUCUAGACAGGCAGCGAUGGAACUCAUUCACCAAGAGGUGAUGAAGAGAAUAGAGACCAUGGGGUCGAUCCCAGACCCGCAGUCCUCCUCUCCCCCAGCCAUGGAUGACAGUCUGUGCAGUGAUCUCAACACUCUGCUGGCUCAUGUCCUGAUUCUCUCCAAACGCUGUCCUUAUGAAGAUGUCAGGGAGAAAUGCAUAUGUUUGCUCCAGAAAGUUCAGACCGCGCCUCUUUCAGGAAGACAGAUGCAAGACUGAGCUGCUCCAAUCAGCCCGGUUCUCAGAAUUCCCAAGCUGAAUCCAAGUACUAGACUGAGAGAGGAACAUGAGAAGUUGAGUGGGACAAAUGACCCAGUGACAGAGGAUAUAAGGAUGAAAGAGCGAGAAGAAAGGUGAAUUGGAUAAUGGAGAAAAGUAGUGUUGAAUGGUUAUAUGUUUAGUGCCUGAGCACAGUCUACAGCAGGGGUGUCAAACUCAGUUCCUGGAAGGCCGCAGCCCUGCAGAGUUAAGUUCCAACCCUGCUCCGACACACAAAGCAUCUAGUUUUCAAAUAAGCCUGAAGGACAUGAUUAGCUGAAUCGGGUGUGUUUAAUUAGGGUUGGAGCUAAACUCUGCAGGGCUGUGGCCCUCCAGGAACUGAGUUUAACACCCCUGGUCUACAGUCAUUGAUCUCUCAUUGUAAUUAAAGUUAAUUGGCCUCAGCUAGACAAAGACACUUGCUCAGAAGAUAUAUAAAAAAGGUUCGAAAUUAAGUAAAUAAAGUGGCGCUAAUUGUUGGUUUUUGAUAACUUUACAACGAACUGCAAUAUAUUAAGUCAACUAUAAAAAUGAGAGUUUGACACUUGUUGAUUUAACCAAUGCAAGUAAUUCAAAUCAAUGUCUUAGUAAAACUUCUGUUCUGCAUCUUCUAAAGACCUUUACGUCAGUGGAAAAUAAUGUGGAAUAUUCUUUCAUUAACCAAAGUCAUAUAUAUUAUGAACAUGAUGUGUCUUUUUUAUGUUUUUAUGACAGGUGCUGUUUUACAGUUUUACAGACAGACAGCUUGUUUAUGAUGUUUUUGAUGUUGACACAGUAA
This is a long non-coding RNA of Carassius carassius (crucian carp), 1381 nucleotides long. RefSeq lists it as uncharacterized. NCBI's taxonomy places the organism in Eukaryota, Metazoa, Chordata, Actinopteri, Cypriniformes, Cyprinidae. The transcript has 3 exons. The record is from RefSeq and is a predicted model, not a curated record.